AUUCAGGAGAGCCCCCAAGAUCCACCCAGCCUAGAAAACAGAACAGAAAGGAGAGAGCAGACAACGACCGCUCAGCCACUGCGGCAGACUUCCCUACGGCACACAAAGAUUCCAAGAAUGCAAGGGUCAUUGACAAUCUAUGCCUGAAAAGUUGGAAUAGUACAUUUAUUUGUAUUUUUCUUUUCUAUCGUCGGGAGGUUUUUUCUUUUAUGAGCGGGGGUGCC
Molecule: non-coding RNA, 224 nt
Organism: Pelobates cultripes (western spadefoot toad)
Lineage: Eukaryota; Metazoa; Chordata; Amphibia; Anura; Pelobatidae
Source: the annotation of a GenBank genome assembly